GAUGAAGAACGCAGCGAAACGCGAUAGGUAAUGUGAAUUGCAGAAUUCCGUGAAUCAUCGAAUCUUUGAACGCACAUUGCGCCCCUUGGUAUCCCGAGGGGCAUGCCUGUUCGAGCGUCAUUUCACCACUCAAGCCUGGCUUGGUGUUGGGCGACGUCCUCUUUGGGGACGCGCCUCGAAACGCUCGGCGGCGUGGCACCGGCUUUAAGCGUAGCAGAAUCUUUCGCUUUGGAAGUCGGGGCCCCGUCUGCCGGAAGACCUGCUCGCAAGGUUGACCUCGGAUCAGGCAGGGAUACCCGCUGAACUUAAGCAUAUCAAUAAGCGGAGGA
RNAcentral lists this unclassified non-coding RNA (329 nucleotides) under soil metagenome. RNAcentral's name for it is "partial contains 5.8S ribosomal RNA, internal transcribed spacer 2, and large subunit ribosomal RNA". The stretch from base 1 to 120 matches the Rfam family "5.8S ribosomal RNA", at positions 35 to 154 of the family's 154-position model. The record is from RNAcentral.